RNAcentral lists this long non-coding RNA (810 nucleotides) under Homo sapiens (human). RNAcentral's name for it is "long non-coding RNA NONHSAT206307". The record is from RNAcentral. Lineage: Eukaryota; Metazoa; Chordata; Mammalia; Primates; Hominidae.
AAAGUUUCUAGGUUGAGUGUAAACAUUGCACUGUAUGCAUAAAUGGUUAAACCUAACCUAAACAUAACCAUCACAUUUCUAAGAAAAGUAUUUUUCUUCCUAUAUUUUCUUUGAGUAAGCAGAAAAAAAUCCAUCAGUACUUACAUUUAGGCACAUAUCAAGCUCCAUUGUUUACUUUAAGAAUUAGAGUAUAAAUGAACUUCUUUCUUUUAUAUAAAUGCACAUAUUUUUACACUGAAAUCUCUCAGCUAACUCGUGACACUUGACAUUAAUCACAUACAUAGAUCAACAAAGACUUUGCUUUCAUAUAGAAAGUAAUUUCAAACAUAUUUCUAAAUUAUGACUUGUUAUUGCAGUCAAUUUAAUUAUCUAGCUAAUGACAAUGUAUGUUCAUAAUCAAAGUAGUCAAAAAUACCAAGUUUAGUAAUUAGACCAUAUAAUUCCUUAACAACUCAAUUUAUAAUGGAAAAGUACAAUGCUUUUAGACAAUGUUCUUCAAAUACUCCUCUAUAUUCAGAAUUAGGAAUUCCACAGUGUAUUCUUUUGACAUUUAAAGCUGGAGAUGGAGUGUUUAGGUUAGAAGCGUAGCUCCCUCCUGUAUUCUACCUGAAAUUGCUUGUAAGUCACAUUACAUUCUAAAUCCAUUUCCCCUCAAACCAUGCUGAGGGUAUAACAUUUACUCUCUGUCAUUAAUGUUCUUUUCUGUAAGACAUACCAAUAUGAAUUGUAACACAAUGAAACAAUUAAUCUUUCUUGGGCAAUUUUAAUGAUUCUAUAAUUAUAGAAAACUAUAGAAAAUCAUGUUUUCCC